ACGGAGGGUGCAAGCGUUGUUCGGAAUCACUGGGCGUAAAGCGCGUGUAGGCGGUUCGAUAAGUCGAGUGUGAAAGCCCGAGGCUCAACUUCGGAAGUGCAUUCGAAACUGUCGAGCUUGAGUACGGGAGAGGGAAGUGGAAUUCCUGGUGUAGAGGUGAAAUUCGUAGAUAUCAGGAGGAACACCGGUGGCGAAGGCGGCUUCCUGGACCGAUACUGACGCUGAGACGCGAAAGCGUGGGGAGCAAACAGGAUUAGAUACCCUGGUAGUCCACGCCGUAAACUGUGAGCGCUAGGUGUAGCGGGUAUUGACCCCUGCUGUGCCGCAGCUAACGCAUUAAGCGCUCCGCCUGGGGAGUACGGCCGCAAGGUUA
Molecule: ribosomal RNA, 373 nt
Filed under: uncultured bacterium
Lineage: Bacteria
Description: bacterial SSU rRNA
Rfam family: Bacterial small subunit ribosomal RNA
Source: RNAcentral